Molecule: ribosomal RNA, 496 nt
Filed under: uncultured bacterium
Lineage: Bacteria
Description: partial 16S ribosomal RNA
Rfam family: Bacterial small subunit ribosomal RNA
Source: RNAcentral
AUGAACGCUGGCGGCGUGCCUAAUACAUGCCAGUCGCGCGAACAGACGAGGAGCUUGCUCCUCUGACGUUAGCGGCGGACGGGUGAGUAACACGUGGAUAACCUACCUAUAAGACUGGGAUAACUUCGGGAAACCGGAGCUAAUACCGGAUAAUAUAUUGAACCGCAUGGUUCAAUAGUGAAAGACGGUUUUGCUGUCACUUAUAGAUGGAUCCGCGCCGCAUUAGCUAGUUGGUAAGGUAACGGCUUACCAAGGCAACGAUGCGUAGCCGACCUGAGAGGGUGAUCGGCCACACUGGAACUGAGACACGGUCCAGACUCCUACGGGAGGCAGCAGUAGGGAAUCUUCCGCAAUGGGCGAAAGCCUGACGGAGCAACGCCGCGUGAGUGAUGAAGGUCUACGGAUCGUAAAACUCUGUUAUUAGGGAAGAACAAAUGUGUAAGUAACUAUGCACGUCUUGACGGUACCUAAUCAGAAAGCCACGGCUAACUACGUG